AACGAACGCUGGCGGCAUGCCUAACACAUGCAAGUCGAACGAGACCUUCGGGUCUAGUGGCGCACGGGUGCGUAACGCGUGGGAAUCUGCCCUUCGGUUGGGAAUAACUGAGAGAAAUUUCAGCUAAUACCUUAUAAUGUCUUCGGACCAAAGAUUUAUCGCCGAGGGAUAAGCCCGCGUAGGAUUAGGUAGUUGGUGGGGUAAUGGCCUACCAAGCCGACGAUCCUUAGCUGGUCUGAGAGGAUGAUCAGCCACACUGGGACUGAGACACGGCCCAGACUCCUACGGGAGGCAGCAGUGGGGAAUAUUGGACAAUGGGCGAAAGCCUGAUCCAGCAAUGCCGCGUGAGUGAUGAAGGCCUUAGGGUUGUAAAGCUCUUUUACCCGGGAUGAUAAUGACAGUACCGGGAGAAUAAGCUCCGGCUAACUCCGUG
RNAcentral lists this ribosomal RNA (433 nucleotides) under uncultured bacterium. RNAcentral describes it as "partial 16S ribosomal RNA". It matches the Rfam family "Bacterial small subunit ribosomal RNA", at positions 29 to 507 of the family's 1533-position model. The record is from RNAcentral.